GGUUCUAUGUCCGGCGAAAGGGAAUGGGGACUUUGUUCCUUGACCGGUCCCGGCACCCUCGAUAGGCUUUGCCAAUCAAUGGUCCAUGCAAAUGGAACCAGGCCACAGCCGCCGGCAGUCGCCCGAGGAAGAGUUUUCUUUUCUGCUUAACGCACGAGGUCAUCCCUGGAAACAGUUCGGCUGGCGAAAGGGUGCCCCGUUGCGGCAGAGCGCCACGACUGUCGUGCGCGUCUCGGUGUACCUGCCGGUCCGUGAAGACGUGGUCGAGGGGAGUCUAACCUUGUAUCAACGAAACGCCCGACAAGUUCGGGACGGACCGUACCCUAUAUCCGCAUCUGGUAUCCAAGGUUCGUAGCCUCUGCAGAGUCAGACACAUGUAGGUAAGGGAAGUCGGCAAACUCGAUCCGUAACUUCGGGAAAAGGAUUGGCUCUGAGGGCCGAGCUGGGCCGGGCCUUGCCUGCAAAGCAGUACCUAUAGUGACCGGAGUUUCAGGAGUGCGAGGGGCUCUAGUAGCUGUCAGCGUUCGCGCGGGCACGAACGAGUCCACCGCUCCGCUCCAACCACGAACGGCUGUGACGGCAAGGGCUCUGGGCGGGAGCGUUCAAACCGUCUACCCCCAGCGUGUCUGGGCCGGAGCCGGUGCUUCGUCUGACCCAUACGGCUCCAGCGGCUAGCGGCUAACUCAGAACUGUCAUGGACCAAGGGAAUCCGACUGUCUAAUUAAAACAAAGCGUCGCGACGGCCCC
RNAcentral lists this ribosomal RNA (747 nucleotides) under Niphargus sp. Its description in RNAcentral is "partial large subunit ribosomal RNA". It matches the Rfam family "Eukaryotic large subunit ribosomal RNA", at positions 1581 to 2171 of the family's 3401-position model. The record is from RNAcentral. Lineage: Eukaryota; Metazoa; Arthropoda; Malacostraca; Amphipoda; Niphargidae.